UACGGAGGGAGCUAGCGUUGUUCGGAAUUACUGGGCGUAAAGCGCGCGUAGGCGGCUUUGUAAGUUAGAGGUGAAAGCCCGGGGCUCAACCCCGGAACUGCCUUUAAGACUGCAUCGCUUGAAUCCGGGAGAGGUGAGUGGAAUUCCGAGUGUAGAGGUGAAAUUCGUAGAUAUUCGGAAGAACACCAGUGGCGAAGGCGGCUCACUGGACCGGUAUUGACGCUGAGGUGCGAAAGCGUGGGGAGCGAACAGG
RNAcentral lists this ribosomal RNA (253 nucleotides) under uncultured bacterium. RNAcentral describes it as "partial 16S ribosomal RNA". It matches the Rfam family "Bacterial small subunit ribosomal RNA", at positions 524 to 776 of the family's 1533-position model. The record is from RNAcentral.